UUUUUUUUUUUUUCUUUUUAUGGCCACACCUACAGCAUAUGGAAGUUCCCAGGCUAGGGGUUGAAUCCCAGGCAGCUGCCAGCCUAUGCUACAGCCACAGAUCUAAGCCAGAUCUGAGCUGCAUCUGUAACCUAUGCUGCAGCUUAUGGCAAUGCCAGAUCCUUAACCCACUGAGCCAGACCAGGGAUCGAACCCGCAACCUCAUGGACACUAUGAGGGGUUCUUAACCCACAGAGCCACAAUAAGAACUCCCCUAAUUCAUCUUUGCACCUCCCACAGUGCCUACCAUAACUCCUGCCCUUGGUAGCUAUGCUUACCUAUUUUUUAAAUGAAUGACUUAGAAAACAGAGUAACAAACUAACGCACAGAUGAGGACUGAGAACUAAAAUAAAAGAAUGAGUCUGGAGGAAGGAUGUACAGAAAUAAUCAAGAUAAAUAUCAAGAAUCUAAAGAUCUUCAAAAUUCAGGUCUAAUGAGGACACAGGACUUGAGCAAGUUCUUUCUGAAGGGUCUUUGUUCCCAUCAUUUACAGCUGCAUGGUAACUGCCAACAACGGAUGAGAAGGCGCCCUGACACCCACCAGCAGACACCUGGCUCUGGAGCAAAGUUGCCCUUGGGAGGUGGAGGGAGAUGAACAGGGAGGGAGGUCAAGGAGACUGGCUCUGGUGGCAGUGGCAUGCCCUCACUUCUCCAAGCUGCUUCACGCUGCAGUGUGCAGGCAACUUCAUUCUGACAGGCAUUUAGCCGUGGCUCUUCACACCCAAGACUCAACUUGUCUCAUGAUCCGUCUUCAAAGGCAUUCGCACCUAAAGAGGCCAGAACCCCUUUGGAAUGCAGGUCCCCUGCCCAGAGGCACCAUUGAGCCAGGAGGUGGGAGUGGGAAGGAGGAGAAGAAAGAGAACAGACACCACUGGGCUCCAGCCUACCCACGAGGGCCUUUGCAUCUGCAGGAAUUUUUUUCAUCCACUUCCAACAUGUUCCCUUUGAUAAUAAAUCAAUAAGUAAGUAAAAUAAGACACAGACAGCACAGAAACACCCCUUUAUUCUGUCUUGUCACUAGUCUAUCACUUUAUUCCGUCUUGCUACUAGUGAGGCAUGAGGCAUAAUCCCAAAGGAUUUCCUAAAUUAUCUCUAAGAUCUGGGGGUUACGAGUAUGGGUUCUAGCAAUGUGAAGAGCCUGGAUUUCCACUUCAUUCAUUCAUCCUGUUGACUGAAAAAAAAUAUAUAUAUGCACAACCUAAAAGUGGAGAAUUAUGUUUUAUUUGGCAGGCUUACUGGGGACUUAAUCCCAGGAGACAGCCUCUCCGGUGGCUCUGAGGAACUGCUCUGAAGACGUAUGGGAGGAGCCAGUUUUGCAACAAAGACCAAAUAGAACAUCAAAAGAUGACUGUUAAUUAAAGAAAACCAAACAUUUCAAGUCAAUGCAUUUAGCCUUUGCUAUGUAUGAGAAGAUGCAGGAGGCUGGGCUCAUCGAAAUCAUUCCUUUGAUAUGCACCUUCACUGGGCAGGGCCAGUACCCUGAUUUUCCCCAUCCCAAGUCCCCUCAGUGUGCAAGGGCUGCAGGGGCUGCUGGCAUGAUGGCUGUCACAUCCUUUGUUCCCUGGGAUGACAGGCAACAUCCUUUGCCCACAAUUCAUUCACAGCAUGUUCACAGAAUUGAACAUAAGAGUUCUUUCUUCCCCUCUCUUUCUCUUCCUUCCUUGCCUUUUGUCUUCCUUUCCAGAAAUACUCGUUGAACAUCUAUUACAAGCCAGAAAUUGUUCUAGGUGCUGGGAAAAGAUCUCUGAACAAAAUAAUCCAUGGUGAAGCUUGUGUUCUAAUGGGAGAGUCAGACAGUACAUAAGGAAAGUGAACGAUAUUAAUAAAGAAGUAAAUGAUACACUAUUAGAGAGUGACAAGUGCUGUGGGAAAAACAGCACAGAGUAUGGAACUACUGGAGUGGCCGUGGUGGGUAGGGGCAGUGACCGUGACUCAGUGAGAUGGUCAGGACAGGUUUCACUGAGAAAGCAAGACCUGAAAGUGCCCAGGGAGUGAGUUGUCCUGGGAUAUCUGGGGGAAGAGCAUAGCAGCUCAGAGAAAAUCUGUGUGGAGCUGCUGAUGGAUGCAGAUUUGAGAUAUUAGAACAGGUUCUCCAAGGGUGGCCUGAAUGUUUUCUUACUUAGAAUGCCUGCCUCCACAUGUUGAGGUGGCUACUUUCCCACCUCGGACUGGGGCGUUGGGCACACCAGGAGGAGAAUGUCCAUCACGUGAUUAUCGAACUUUGUCUUUUUUUUCAUCUCCAAAUAAAAACACCCAAGACUUGCAAAGUAAUGCUGAGGCUGAAAGAGAUUGUGUCCAUUCAGGACACCAGACCAGCCUGGGCACGUGGCAGGACACAACACCUGGCCUUUUUUUUAGUAAUCUCUCCGUACAGAAAAGAAAAAAGAUGUUGUUCAUUGAAACUGGCAAAAUUAUACUUUGGUUACAGAAAUCCUCAUACUUCAUUAGUUUUCUAGGUUUUUUGUUUUUUUUUUUAUCCCAUAAACCCCACUGUGGACUCAGAAGACUCCAGAGCAGAUGGCCUCCUGUGGUGGCACAGAGAUUCAUCCUGCUUCAGUCUCGUGGAAUCCUCACCCCUCGUGGUGCUGCCAGCAUAGGCACAGUGGCGGAAAUGAGAGCGGGAGUGUCUCACGCUGGCAGUUAAAUGCUUUAGCCCAGAGGUGACACACCUCUACUGUGCUUACAGGCCAUUCGCCAGGACUGGUCACGUGACCCCCCAGCAAUAUGUGGAAUGGUGAGGAGUGGAUGAGAACUGUAUGUGGCUGACAUCAAAGUCCCCCCUCCCCAGAGGUCCAUUCAGAAAUGACCCUUCCAAAAUAGUGUCUAAGCUGGGCUACUGACAGGUUGGACACUGGCUCUGCCCAACUGCAAAGUCCAUGCUCUCCCACCACGUUCCACUCUGCUACAGAGGGCUCCUUGGCAAGCAGAAAAUUCCACUCAGAUCCCAAACGGCUGUUGAGUCAAAUCUGAGGCAGACACACUUCCGAGGGCACCACCCAGAAUCUGUUCGGAGGAAGCUCAAAGGAGUGUGAUCAUACACAGGGUGUCAGAGGAAGGGUUCUCCCAGACCGAAGGCCAAGGUAACAUGAGUGUGUCUUCCAAGCAAAGACAUCACACAUGAUGCUCUGGGGCUGCCUCUUCUCAACAGCAUCCUCUGCUUAUUGUCAGCAACCCACCCACCAUUCCUGGUCUGUACUGCUGGGAAAACGGCACAUGCUUUGUUCCCUAAUCUCUAGUCAAACCAAAUAUCUGCCUUGUGUCUCUUUUAUUGGACAGCUACACAAGGCACCAUCUUUGCUCUGGCAUUCCGACAGCUGAGCAAAGCCUGCACGUGACUGUCACCUGUGUGUGGAGAGAGUGGCUUCCGCUCACUUAGAUCAUCCAGAACAGGACUUGGCUGCUCUGGGUCCUGAGCCUGGAGAGUCUCUGUGAACAACAAAGGCUUCCUUUGUAGACCAAAUCCCAGCAGGAACAAGCAUCUUUUGGCAAAUCUCUCCAAGACGGUAAUACUGCUCAACAAGAAAACUCAGAAGGGAAUUUCAUUUGAGACAUACACUCCUUAAGGUGGAAGCCAAAAGCCCAGGAGAUGCAUGCUUUGGAAGAAUUACCUGAGUUCACAUCUUGCUGCUUAAGAAGAACCCUUUGACUUCAGCACAAGUGAGUCAAGCUCCAUUGCCUGCUCUUCAUCAGGCUACUUCAAGCCCAGCUACAGAGACAGGAUCUUUGAAAACCAGUGUCCUGAGUUCAAGGCCAAGUGCCCCCAUUCUAGCUGUGAAACCUGCAAGGAGCGGCUCAGUUUACUCAAGUGUAAAACAAGGAUGAAAAUUCUGCUCAUGCAAAGUUGAAUGAGAUCAAAUGAGACACAGUAAACACCUAGCAUGUCUCUGGCCUAAAAUGACCAUUCAAUACCCUGUGCCGCUCUUUAAGUUAUGUGAAUACCAUUGACCUUUGAAAGGAAAGUCACAGACAGUGUGGAUGAGGUGUCUGUGACUUUCCUGGGCACAUAUCCAAACAAAACCCUCAUUCAAAAAAAUACAUGAACCCUACGUUCAUUGCAGCACUAUUCACAAUAGCCAAGACAUGGAAACAACCUAAGUGUCCACUGACAGAUAAAUGGAUUAAGAAUGUGGUAUAUAUACACAAUGGAAUAAUAUUUAGCCAUUAAAAAACCAAAAUAAUGCCAUUUGCAGCAACAUGGAUGUUACUAGAGAUUCUCAUACUCAGUGAAAUAAGUCAGAAAGAGAAAGACAAAUACCAUAUGAUAUCACUUCUGUGUGGAAUCUAAAAUAUAGCAGAAAUGAACUUAUCUACAAGACAGAAACAGACUCACAGACAUAGAGAACAGACUUGUGGUUGCCAGGGGUGUGGGGGGGAGGAACUGGGAUGGACUGGGAGUUUGGGGUUGGUAAAAGCAAAAUAUUGCAUUUAGAAUAGAUAAACAAUGAGGUCUUACUGUACAGCACAGGGAACUAUAACCAGUCUCUUGGGACAGAACAUGAUGGAAGAUAAUAUGAGAAAAAGAAUAUAUAUAUAUACUGGGUCACUAUGCUGUACUGCAGAAAUUGACACAACACUGUAAAUCAACAAUACUGUAAUGAAAUUUUUUAAAAAUAAAUAAAAUUCCGUUAUUUGGUCACACCAGCUACGUUCCAAGUGCCUGUGGCCACAUCUUGGACAGCACAGACGUCCUAUUCGAUAUCGCUCUUCUAGAUCACUAUUCCAUCCGUGGAUGUUGCUAAAAGCUUUAAGAUUAUGAGUUGUCUUUACCAUUGAAUAAAAGCCAAACAAUGUUUCUUUGACAAAGGUCGAUGCUAAAAAAAAAAAAAAAAAAAAAAAAAAACAACCCAAGACCUUAUCUAGCAUGAUGCGUUCCCAGAAGUAGCAGUCACAGAACUAAAAGUUGUCCUAUUGUCAGAGAGGAGAACAGGUGGGUGACAGCAGAAGGGGUCACUAUGAUGAACCUGUCAUCAUGAGAAUUGAAGCAGCAGAGGCAUUGUCUAUGACUUAGUGUCCGCAAUUACAGUGACAAAACAGAACCGUCGGGAUCCUCAGGAACCCCUGCCUCUAUUCCUCCCAACCCAUUCUUUUUCACGGCCACACUGCAGCAUAUGGGAGUUCCAGGGCCAGGGAUCAGACUCACACCACAGCAGCAACCUGAGCAGCUGCAGUGACAACACUACCGGAUCCUUAACCUGCUGUGUCACAAGAGAACUCCUCUCCCAGCCCAUUCAGAAGGUCUCCACAGGGCGGCCUGCUGUGCCUGUGAAAACAGGGACUGGUGUUUGAGAAUGCAGUUCUCUGGAUGGUGUGACACAGCCGGCCAUUCCUACCAGGCCUGGUGGGUCAGGUGACCCCUCUGCCACUUGCUGCUUUAGAAGCAGGAGAUCCCUGUGGCCUCCUCCCAACCUGGGGAAGCUAAGGCAGAAGAAAUAACUACCACCUACACGCUUUUGUCUUAUUAAGCGGCAUCUCCCAGGCAUUGCAAUGUGCAGCCUUUGCUAUUUUCCUGUUGGUGCUUCUUCCUCUGUUCAGGCACCGGCCUGAGUCCCAAGUAGGAGGCAGGGCCAGAAGGCUAGUUAAGUGCUACAUACCAUAGCCCUACAUACCACAGCCC
RNAcentral lists this long non-coding RNA (5653 nucleotides) under Sus scrofa (pig). Its description in RNAcentral is "lncRNA (ENSSSCG00065065328.1)". Lineage: Eukaryota; Metazoa; Chordata; Mammalia; Artiodactyla; Suidae. The record is from RNAcentral.